Erinaceus europaeus (western European hedgehog) is the source of this 366-nucleotide long non-coding RNA. RefSeq lists it as uncharacterized. The record is from RefSeq and is a predicted model, not a curated record. Lineage: Eukaryota; Metazoa; Chordata; Mammalia; Eulipotyphla; Erinaceidae. The transcript is spliced from 3 exons.
GCUAGCCUGACAGUGAAACAAUACUGUUGACGUCUUUCUUCAUGUUUCCCUUCAAUUUCUCUGCCGCUAUCCAAAAAAAUAGAUCAGCACAGAAAACCCUGAUGAGGGGCUUCUGGGAGGCAUGGCUAUGGACUAUCAGUGAGCAGAACAGACUCUCCCCCUAAAACAACAAGUUUUAUUGUUGGAUUUCACAAACUUCACUAAACUGCAGCUGGGACGUCCACAGACAUGCAGAGAGACCUCAGCUUCUGGAAACAGCAGAGGCAAGCAGAAGGCACAUUCUAAGAACAGGCGUGGGAGUGAGAAGCCUGUCGCUGCUCUGGGCCAGCUCUCCGGUCAGCAGACAGUCAUGACAUUUUCACAGCC